GGUUGGCGGGAGCAGCUUCCCGAUCUUAGCCCUUGCCCUGCCGCACCCGAGGCUGCCCGGGUCCUCCCCGUACUGAGGAGGCUGCGGGCACCCCGGGCGCACGCCCGCAGAGUCCCGGUUCCUCAGUCUUGCUCUGCUGCCUGGGCGGCGCUCCCGGGUCCUUCCGCCGCUGUGUCCUCGUGUGCCAAGUGCUGAUGACCGCUCUCCGCCUCGCCUGUUGGAAUGUCGCCGCGGCGCCAGGUCAGCUCACUGUCUUCAGCCUCCUCCGGCAUGCUCGGUGUUGUAUUUCAGCCUCCAGAAUUCGUCCUCCGGCAGAACAGAACUCACCCCUUCAGACCUAGAAGAUGUAGUUUGGAAGGGUUUGGAACGACUCUUGAAACACGGUGACAUCCUAACCCCCUCGGCACGUGUGAAAGUACUCAGUGCGCCCUCGUGACAUCCACACUUCCACGCAGUUCUCUACAAUAGAGUGUCGACGGGGGCGGCGGCGCUCGUUGCAGCGAUCGGUCAUAGGAAUGUCAGUGCAGCAAGAAACAUUCAGUUCAGCUGUGUUCUUUCUGAGUUAGAUCGUUCAGACUGGGACGUUGCUGUGGGUGUGCACCUUGAAGCACAGGGCGUGCGUUUUCAGCAGGCGAACGUCACUUGGAUGUCCUGUGGUGUUUUUUUUUUUUACUAACAUCCAACUGCUUUCAGUCCUAGCCAGAAACAGAAGAAUGGAGUUUCAGUUUCACCUAGUUGCCAGAAGAAAAUAUUUGUCCACUAGUCUGCACCAAAGCUAACAAUAUGGCUUGGGAACACGACGUGGAAUAAAGCGUGGACAGGGGUCCAGAACUGAA
This is a non-coding RNA of Myodes glareolus (Bank vole), 836 nucleotides long. The record is from RefSeq and is a predicted model, not a curated record. NCBI's taxonomy places the organism in Eukaryota, Metazoa, Chordata, Mammalia, Rodentia, Cricetidae.